GCGAAUGGCUCAUUAAAUCAGCUAUGGUUUAUUGGAUCGUACCCGUUAAAUGGAUAACUGUAAUAACUCUAGAGCUAAUACAUGCCUUGAUGCCCUGACCCGCUUGCGGGAAUGGGUGCACUUAUUAGAUCAGAAGCCAACCGUGUAUGCCGCAAGGUGUGCGCGUUGUCCUUCUGGUGACUCUGGAUAAUUGUUACAGAUCGCAGUCGGCCUUGAGUCGGCGACGGGUCCUUCAAAUGUCUGCCCUAUCAACUGUCGAUGGUAGGUGACCUGCCUACCAUGGUGAUAACGGGUAACGGGGAAUCAGGGUUCGAUUCCGGAGAGGGAGCCUGAGAAACGGCUACCACUUCCAAGGGAGGCAGCAGGCGCGCAAAUUACCCACUCCCAGUACGGGGAGGUGGUGACGAAAAAUACCGAUGCGGGACUCGAUUAUGAGGCUCCGUAAUCGGAAUGAGUGAACUCUAAAUCCUUUCACGAGGAUCAAUUGGAGGGCAAGUCUGGUGCCAGCAGCCGCGGUAACUCCAGCUCCAAUAGCGUAUAUUAAAGUUGCUGCAGUUAAAAAGCUCGUAGUUGGAUCUCGGUAUCACUGGGGCCUGCCCACGCGACCGUCGCAAUGGCGGCUUCGGCUGACCUAGGCGUCGGGAGCAGGGGUUUGGCAUCCGGUGUCACCUUUCAGCCAUGUCUGUGGUGAAAUACCCGCAGGUGUAGGCGAGUGUCAGGCGGUGCCUUGCGACAGUGAGGCCCGUCGGCUCGUUUGCAUGCCUUUGGAUGCCCUUCAAAAGGUGUCCGUAGGCGGAUGGCACGUUUACUUUGAACAAAUUUGAGUGCUCAAACCAGGCCGAUGUUGCCUGAAAAGUUUUGCAUGGAAUAAUGGAAUAGGACUUCGGUUCUAUUUCGUUGGUUUUCGGAUCCGAAGUAAUGAUCAAAAGAGACAGGCGGGGACGUUUGUAUGGCUGCGCUAGAGGUGAAAUUCAUGGACCGUAGCCAGACAAACUAAAGCGAAAGCAUUCGUCAAGCAUGUUUUCAUUGGCCAUGAGCGAAAGUCAGAGGCUCGAAGACGAUCAGAUACCGUCCUAGUUCUGACCAUAAACGAUGCCAACUGACGAUCCGUGGUGGUAGUAAUUCAACCUUCCCCACGGGCAGUCCCCGGGAAACCAUUAAGUCUUUGGGUUCCGGGGGAAGUAUGGUUGCAAAGCUGAAACUUAAAGGAAUUGACGGAAGGGCACCACCAGGAGUGGAGCCUGCGGCUUAAUUUGACUCAACACGGGAAAACUCACCCGGCCCGGACACUGUGAGGAUUGACAGAUUGAUAGCUCUUUCUUGAUUCAGUGGUUGGUGGUGCAUGGCCGUUCUUAGUUGGUGGAGCGAUUUGUCUGGUUAAUUCCGAUAACGAACGAGACUCCAGCCUGCUAAUUAGUGUGCUCGUCCACUGUUCCUGUGUUGGCGGCGUUUGACAAGGCUGCAUCUCCAUGCUGGUGCUGUGGGUGGCGCAAGCUGCUUGCGGUGUUGGCUGGGUUGCGGCUGGCUCUGCGUUAGCCUCCGGGUACGGCGCGAGUACCUACUUCUUAGAGGGACAAGCGGGAAAAGCCGCACGAAAUUGAGCAAUAACAGGUCUGUGAUGCCCUUAGAUGUCCGGGGCCGCACGCGCGCUACAAUGACGGUGCCAACGAGUCUGACCUUCUGGCCCGAAAGGGUUGGGCAAACUGGUCAAUCACCGUCAUGACAGGGAUCGGGGCUUGGAAUUGUUCCCCGUGAACGAGGAAUUCCUAGUAAGUGCAAGUCAUAAGCUUGCGCUGAUUACGUCCCUGCCCUUUGUACACACCGCCCGUCGCUACUACCGAUUGAAUGGUUUAGUAAGGUCCUUGGAUUGGCGCCAUUGUGGUGGUCCGCCGAAAGGUGGCCAUCCAACGUGUGCUGAGAAGACGACCAAACUUGAUCAUUUAGAGGAAGUAAAAGUCGUAACAAG
RNAcentral lists this ribosomal RNA (1966 nucleotides) under Scalithrium sp. 1 AW-2013. RNAcentral describes it as "SSU rRNA". It matches the Rfam family "Eukaryotic small subunit ribosomal RNA". Lineage: Eukaryota; Metazoa; Platyhelminthes; Cestoda; Rhinebothriidea; Rhinebothriidae. The record is from RNAcentral.